Molecule: ribosomal RNA, 400 nt
Filed under: phytoplankton environmental sample
Lineage: Eukaryota
Description: partial small subunit ribosomal RNA
Rfam family: Eukaryotic small subunit ribosomal RNA
Source: RNAcentral
AGCUCCAUUAGCGUAUAUUAAAGUUGUUGCAGUUAAAAAGCUCGUAGUUGGAUUUCGGUGCGGGUCGCGUCGGUCGGUCGCAAGACUUGUUUACUGGCCGGCCUGUUCUUUCUCUCCGAGACCUCGCGUUUCCUUUACUGGAUGCGCGUGCGAAUCGGAGGCGUUUACUUUGAAAAAAUUAGAGUGUUCAAGGCAGGCUCGUUUAGGCUUGAAUACAUGAGCAUGGAAUAAUGGAAUAUGACUUGGGUCACUAUUUCGUUGGUUCUAUUGACCGAAGUAAUGAUUAAGAGGGACAGUUGGGGGCAUCCGUAUUUCGUUGUCAGAGGUGAAAUUCUUGGAUUUACGAAAGACGAACUACUGCGAAAGCAUUUGCCAAGAAUGUUUUCAUUAAUCAAGAACG